GGACUUCAGUGUUCCUUUUGGGUCCCUCCCAAUUUAGGAUAUUCUAUGAUUCUAUGAUUCUGUCAUUGUUCUCUUUUCACCCAUGUGGCUAAAGAGAAGUAUUUUUAUUAUUUGCAGUAUUUGUCAUUUCAGAUAACCCACAUCUCACUUCCAGUUCUCACUUUGUUCCUGAAUUACUGGAUUACUAAUCUACAGCUGGCACCCCAUUCUGCUCCUUUUAAGCAAUCUACUAACUCCUGAUAGUCAAGGCUGAUGAUCUAAUUUUAGUCCUGACAGUGCAAUUCAGUUUUCAGUCUUAACACUGAAACUCAGUGGAGCAAAAUCCACUAAUGGGACCCCUGUAUUAGUUAGCAUAGCACUUCCUAAAAUGCUAAAAGCACUGCUUAUAUUAAUUGUCCUGAAGACACUUGACGUAAAUGGGAUGAAGAACAAGAAAUCAUAGUGAUAAACAACUUACAUGACCUUCUCAUAGAUGGCAUUUUGGCUGGAAAAAAGGAUUUCAUCCUUUUGCCAUGACCAAAAUUGUUGUACUCCAGAGAUACCCUUUGAUAUUCCAGAUCAUGCAACACACUUCCACAUGAAGGUCAAUAUUUAGUUCGACCCUUUCAUGUAAAUCUCUGAGCUGGGCAAAUUGCAAGUGAAGGAAGUAAAAGACUUGCAGGACUCUGUUGUGAAAAGGCUGAUGAUUACAGCUGAGAUUCCUCCUGUAUGAGAAAACCAUCCCUUGGCUGAUGGUGUGGUUGCAUCUUGGAACAUCAAGCACAGUGUUUAUGUAAAUCUGAGUGUUCUUCUGCUUGUUCUGCUACAAAAGCCAUUCUCCCUGGGACACAGAAGGAAAUCCAGUGAGACAAGGUAAUAGAGAUGGAAGACUGCUAAUGGAAAGAUUAGGUCUCUGGGCUGUCAGACUUGUCUCUCUUAAGCACAUGUUUAUGCUUUAAGUUAAAUAAUACAGCAUGUUUAUGCAUGUGAAUAUAUAUAUACUGCAUAUGUAUCUGAAUGUAUGAAUGGUAAGAUGCUGUUCUGUGCAAGAAAGUCACAUCAGACUAGUUUCACAUUUUUAUGUAUUAUAUUACAUUUCAUUACAUUUAUAUUACAAUGUAAAAGGUUUCUGCCUUUCCCCAGAAAACACAAUCUUAACAUUCAUGUGCUCGUGUUCAACAAGCCUGUACACACACAGGAUCUUGGAGAGCAAGUUGGUUUGGAUGUUACCAGAAUUUUCUUGCCCCGCAGAUGGUUUCUGUCUCCUAGCUCUGGAUAAAAUAUGUCCUUGCCGUUGCUUCAGUGCUGGAUUCAAGUCCUGUUGAGGGAAUCAGUGGGUCGGGGUUCCCACUACUCCUGGUGUCCUUGUCCUUUUGUUCCAUAAAAAAGUUUUAUAUGUUCCUGUCACUGUACUUAAUAAACAAUUUAAAAAAAACCCCCAAACCCAAUCCAUCCAAAUCUAUUCUACUUUACCAAGUCUAAUUUUCUUGCCCUUUGCAGACCUUGAUAUUACUUGCAGCAACCUGUAUUUGGUGCAACAUAACUGCACUUAAGAGAUCAGGUCUCUCCAUUUGUUUCACUUUGUAGGAGUAAGGAUUUAUUUACUGGUUUGUGGCUGAUAACUCUUGGACAGAAAUACCCUUGUGUGUUUAUUUUCUAUGACAGUCUUUGUAAAGCUCUUUGGAGAUACUUUGUAGUCUUUGAAAAUAAUAGAAAGGGAGGGGAAGGAGUUGAUUUUGCUUCAUCUUCUUCAUUGUCUUCCCACUUCUUUUCUUCCACCUUGAGGGGAAGAGAGCACACUAAAUGAAGAGCUCAUGCCUCCCACUGAAGCCUUUACCUGAAAUGUGCCACAUCUGGACAGACAUAGCAACAUACUGACCUAAUUCUUCAUGUUGUGCAGCUGUGUACUCACUAUUUUAAGAGAUAAAUGGAUAACAGUCUCUCCAUUCUCCAGUGUAAAUUGACCAAAGCCUCUUCAUGUCAAUGAAGCGACAUAUGAAGUUGUGAAAGCUGAGAGCCUGGGGCUAAAUGUUAACUGCAAAAAGACAAGGCAGCUAUUGCAUUGGACUUUCAAAAAUUAUUGUGACCAUACAGCAUUUUCAGGUAGGAAUGGUGAUCUAGUUGAAAAAAAGAACUAUGUCUGAGCAUCAUCCAAGUUGAGCACUAAAGUGCAGUGUUCUCCAUAGUGAGUGCUGUGAUCUGGGAGCUCCUGUGGGACACCAGCCUCACAUCAAGUUAUCCAUGGAAAGACCUGCUAAUCCAGAGGAUGUGAUGUGCUCUCUGCAAGGCCAGCAGACGUGUCUCUCUCAGGGAGAAAAUAACUGGUUGUAGCAGCAGCAAGAAAGUAACCAGAUCUAUGCAGCUGCAUGAAAGGGUAAACUGUACUCUGGCUUUUGGGAGGCUUUCCUGGUGACACUUUCACUCCUUACCUCAGGUGAACAUUGAAGUGUGUCCUGCCAUGACCUACUGUCUGAAUUGUGGUCACAUCCAAGGAGAGGAGCAACAGGCUAGACAGUCAGAACUCUCCCACGCAACUUCCCUGGCACAGACCAGCAUCACCACUGAGCAUCUCCCUCCUCUGCUGCUGGUCCUGUCACACAGCUGGGCUUCAAAAGAGGAUGCUCCUCUCCCAUGUGCUUCAAAGAGAAACCAGGAGCCACAGAACAAUUACUCCCACUCACAAGACGAGGGGAAAUCCUCUUCUAACAAGGGAUCAUCCUGUUACAACGAGGAUGUCUGGUGAUUUAUGACUUGCUGCUUUAAACUCUCCUUCCCCUAUGAAGAAACACAGGAGACAGCAAAGCUGGAGGGAGAUACAAGAGAGAACUGACACUGGCAAUACUUAAAAUAUAGUGGGAGAGCUGGGAAAACCCUUUCUUUCUGUCCUCAUUAGCAUGACUUAAUUAAUACUUACAAUCUUAUCAAACAGAAGUUACCAUGCAGGAGGGAUGUGCAGGCUGGAAAUUAAAGCUUUAAUAAAUAGAUAUUUUAAGACCAAAAAAGCACCACUGUAAUUUUGUCAGGCUUCCUGUGUAAUUGAUGCC
Long non-coding RNA from Manacus vitellinus (golden-collared manakin), 3023 nucleotides. RefSeq lists it as uncharacterized. NCBI's taxonomy places the organism in Eukaryota, Metazoa, Chordata, Aves, Passeriformes, Pipridae. The record is from RefSeq and is a predicted model, not a curated record. The transcript has 5 exons.